GCCCCGGUGGCACAAUCGGUUAGCGCGCCGUACUUAUAAUGCGGAGGUUGUGAGUUCGAGCCUCACCUGGGGCA
RNAcentral lists this transfer RNA (74 nucleotides) under Haliotis rufescens (red abalone). Its description in RNAcentral is "tRNA-Ile". It matches the Rfam family "tRNA". Rfam says of the family: Transfer RNA (tRNA) molecules are approximately 80 nucleotides in length. Their secondary structure includes four short double-helical elements and three loops (D, anti-codon, and T loops). The record is from RNAcentral. Lineage: Eukaryota; Metazoa; Mollusca; Gastropoda; Lepetellida; Haliotidae.